CAGUGCCUAGGUUUUAUGUAGUGAAUUUGGCUAAAAUGGUAGAGCUCCCUGAUUCUAACCUCCCUGCAGGUUUUCCACCACAUCCACUCACCUCUACAUGGCGAAAACCAAGGGUUCACUCUCUGUCUUCAGGGAGCUCCACCCAGCAGCAGCGUUUGACAGAGCUGUUCACUUCCUCUUCCUGGAGCUGUGGCUUCCAGAGCCCAUGCUCAGCAGUUCCCCUCCUUCUUCGACUGCUCCUCUCUUAGGCUCAGAGCCACUCAGACAUUGGGAAGCAAGUUUGUCAAGAUGACAGAGAACCGAGGUAAUGGAUUCGAGUGAUGAAACAGGAAGUUCAUUCAUGAGUUUUUGGCCACACCUCCAAAGUGACGACUUAGCCAGAAAUGGGAUAACUGGGUUUCCCUACUUCUCUUUUAUCAUCCUCAAUGAGAGUGACCAAAUAUUAGAGCUAGAUGGAACCUUAGUGAAAAUCUGGCUACUCGUCCCGUCCCACCAGCCUGCCACCCAUUUCAAGUUUGAAGAGACAAAGACACAUGGACCUUAUGUAAUUACUGGGGAUUACCCCAGGAGUCUGUGGCAAAAGUCAGCUUCUUCCCUCCCUGCUUCCCCGCCCUGUCUCUGGUACUUUCUACCAACACUGGGCUGUUUCUGUGAUCACACUUAAGCGUACCUAACCUGCGAAUGCUGUAUAGAAGGUGCUAAUGAACAUGAUUUAGCUUUAACACUCAGUUUUCUAAAGGGACACGUGGGGGCAGCAAAUGUUUAGGCAAAAACAAUUCCAGUUCUAGCCUCUACUGUCUACAUAUGUGUAUACAUUUGGGAAACGUUUGGGAAAGGGAUAUUUGAGAGCUUC
RNAcentral lists this long non-coding RNA (853 nucleotides) under Homo sapiens (human). Its description in RNAcentral is "long intergenic non-protein coding RNA 518". Lineage: Eukaryota; Metazoa; Chordata; Mammalia; Primates; Hominidae. The record is from RNAcentral.